UAAGUACACCCUCCGUCCGAAAAUACUUGUCGUCAAAAUAGAUAAAAAAAGAUAUAUCUAGAACUAAAAUACAUCUAGAUACAUCCCCUUUUGUUCAUUUUGAUAACAAGUAUUUCCGGACGGAGGGAGUACUAC
Triticum aestivum (bread wheat) is the source of this 135-nucleotide non-coding RNA. The record is from Rfam. Lineage: Eukaryota; Viridiplantae; Streptophyta; Magnoliopsida; Poales; Poaceae.